GACAGAGGGUGCAAACGUUGUUCGGAAUUACUGGGCGUAAAGCGUGUGUAGGCGGCCACGUAAGUCGGAUGUGAAAGCCCCAGGCUCAACCUGGGAAGUGCACUCGAUACUGGGAAGCUGAGUCCGGGAGAGGUGAGUGGAACUCCGAGUGUAGAGGUGAAAUUCGUAGAUAUUCGGAAGAACACCAGUGGCGAAGGCGGCUCACUGGCCCGGUACUGACGCUGAGGUGCGAAAGCGUGGGGAGCAAACAGG
RNAcentral lists this ribosomal RNA (252 nucleotides) under uncultured bacterium. RNAcentral's name for it is "partial 16S ribosomal RNA". It matches the Rfam family "Bacterial small subunit ribosomal RNA", at positions 524 to 776 of the family's 1533-position model. The record is from RNAcentral.